RNAcentral lists this ribosomal RNA (433 nucleotides) under uncultured bacterium. RNAcentral's name for it is "partial 16S ribosomal RNA". It matches the Rfam family "Bacterial small subunit ribosomal RNA", at positions 29 to 507 of the family's 1533-position model. The record is from RNAcentral.
AACGAACGCUGGCGGCAUGCCUAACACAUGCAAGUCAAACGAGACCUUCGGGUCUAGUGGCGCACGGGUGCGUAACGCGUGGGAACCUGCCCUUAGGUUCGGAAUACCUCCCCGAAAGGGGUGCUAAUACCGGAUAAUGUCUUCGGACCAAAGAUUUAUCGCCUUUGGAUGGGCCCGCGUUGGAUUAGCUAGUUGGUAGGGUAAAAGCCUACCAAGGCGACGAUCCAUAGCUGGUCUGAGAGGAUGAUCAGCCACACUGGGACUGAGACACGGCCCAGACUCCUACGGGAAGCAGCAGUGGGGAAUAUUGGACAACGGGCGAAAGCCUGAUCCAGCAAUGCCGCGUGAGUGAUGAAGGCCUUAGGGUUGUAAAGCUCUUUUACCCGGGAUGAUAAUGACAGUACCGGGAGAAUAAGCUCCGGCUAACUCCGUG